GAGACUACGGGUAUAAUAGGAGCAUCCGUCAACAAUAGGAUCACCCUAAGAUGAUAAUCUCGUGGCUAUUGAGAUCGAAUGAAAUCAGAUGGUUCUAUUUCUUAUUCUUAAUGUUUUCGAUCUUGGUUCCGUAGGAGCAAGUCAUAGAGAUUGAGAAAAAUAGAUAAUUCACAACCACUGAUGAAGGAUUCCUCGAAAAGUUAAGGAUUAUAUAUAUAUAUAUAUAUGGGGUUUGUUAACGUGCGUACGCGUGUUUUUCUACAUUUUAACAAUGUGUACCGGAUUAUAGUAGACAAAAAUACCCUCAUAUAUUAUGAAUUCUAAGUUUUAAAGUCAAGAAUAUUUAAAUAAUUUUCAUUCUCAAAACUAAAAAAUAGAAAGAAACCCCCAAAUCCUUACUCACCUCCCUCAUUCCUCUCAACCCUUUCUUUUUCAUCUCUCUCACUCCAACAUUUUCUCUAUCACCCUAUGGUAGAUCCUGAAAAAAAAUAAUUAGAAAUACUUGUCGUUAAAUAAUUUACCUUUGUAAAGAGUUGAGUCAUUUGCAUAUUCGCCUUCAGGCAAAGGUUCAUUCAAGAUCUCUUCAAUUUCAUCAUCUUCACUAACCUCUCUAAUUUCAUCAUUUGUAUAUGUUGAAUCAUCAUAUCUUAAAAAACCUUCAGGUCAAUUACCAAUUCCUUCUGAUGUCAUCAUGCUUGUGAAAAUUAGAUAAGACAAAAAUUAUAAAAUGAAAACUCAUUAUAAAAUUAUUUUUUGUAAGAAAUUGUUUAAUAGCGAGUGUUUCUGAUUUUUUACAGGCGAAUUACCAAUUCCUUUAUAUGUCUUUAUGCUUGUGAAAAUUAGAUAAAAUUAGAAAAGACAAAAAUUAUAAAAUGAAAACUCAUUAUAAAAUUAUUUUUUUGUAAGAAAUUGCUUAACCGCCAGUGUUUCUGAUUUUUUUUAAUUGGGCUACAGUAGAGAUGACAUAGAAAGGUUGGAGUGAGAGGGAUGAAAGAGAAAGGAUUGAGAGGAAUGAGAGAGGUGAGUAUGGGUUUGGGGGUUUCUUGCUUUUUUUAGUUUUGAGAAUGAAAAUGAUUUAAAUAUCCUUGACUUUAAAACUUCGAAUCCAUAAUGAGAGUAUUUUUGUCUACUAUAAUCCGGUACAUCGUUGAAAUGUACAAACUGAAAAACAGGUGUACACGCGUUAACAAACCCAUA
This 1197-nucleotide long non-coding RNA is filed under the name Vigna radiata. RNAcentral's name for it is "long non-coding RNA (VRAD_LNC014032)". Lineage: Eukaryota; Viridiplantae; Streptophyta; Magnoliopsida; Fabales; Fabaceae. The record is from RNAcentral.